GAUGAACGCUGGCGGCGUGCCUAAUACAUGCAAGUCGAACGAGUUCUCGUUGAUGAUCGGUGCUUGCACCGAGAUUCAACAUGGAACGAGUGGCGGACGGGUGAGUAACACGUGGGUAACCUGCCCUUAAGUGGGGGAUAACAUUUGGAAACAGAUGCUAAUACCGCAUAGAUCCAAGAACCGCAUGGUUCUUGGCUGAAAGAUGGCGUAAGCUAUCGCUUUUGGAUGGACCCGCGGCGUAUUAGCUAGUUGGUGAGGUAACGGCUCACCAAGGCGAUGAUACGUAGCCGAACUGAGAGGUUGAUCGGCCACAUUGGGACUGAGACACGGCCCAAACUCCUACGGGAGGCAGCAGUAGGGAAUCUUCCACAAUGGACGCAAGUCUGAUUGAGCAACGCCGCGUGGGUGAAGAAGGCUUUCGGGUCGUAAAACUCUGUUGUUGGAGAAGAAUGGUCGGCAGAGUAACUGUUGUCGGCGUGACGGUAUCCAACCAGAAAGCCACGGCUAACUACGUGCCAGCAGCCGCGGUAAUACGUAGGUGGCAAGCGUUAUCCGGAUUUAUUGGGCGUAAAGCGAGCGCAGGCGGUUUUUUAAGACUGAUGUGAAAGCCCUCGGCUUAACCGAGGAAGCGCAUCGGAAACUGGGAAACUUGAGUGCAGAAGAGGACAGUGGAACUCCAUGUGUAGCGGUGAAAUGCGUAGAUAUAUGGAAGAACACCAGUGGCGAAGGCGGCUGUCUGGUCUGUAACUGACGCUGAGGCUCGAAAGCAUGGGUAGCGAACAGGAUUAGAUACCCUGGUAGUCCAUGCCGUAAACGAUGAAUGCUAGGUGUUGGAGGGUUUCCGCCCUUCAGUGCCGCAGCUAACGCAUUAAGCAUUCCGCCUGGGGAGUACGACCGCAAGGUUGAAACUCAAAGGAAUUGACGGGGGCCCGCACAAGCGGUGGAGCAUGUGGUUUAAUUCGAAGCAACGCGAAGAACCUUACCAGGUCUUGACAUCUUUUGAUCACCUGAGAGAUCAGGUUUCCCCUUCGGGGGCAAAAUGACAGGUGGUGCAUGGUUGUCGUCAGCUCGUGUCGUGAGAUGUUGGGUUAAGUCCCGCAACGAGCGCAACCCUUAUGACUAGUUGCCAGCAUUUAGUUGGGCACUCUAGUAAGACUGCCGGUGACAAACCGGAGGAAGGUGGGGAUGACGUCAAAUCAUCAUGCCCCUUAUGACCUGGGCUACACACGUGCUACAAUGGAUGGUACAACGAGUUGCGAGACCGCGAGGUCAAGCUAAUCUCUUAAAGCCAUUCUCAGUUCGGACUGUAGGCUGCAACUCGCCUACACGAAGUCGGAAUCGCUAGUAAUCGCGGAUCAGCACGCCGCGGUGAAUACGUUCCCGGGCCUUGUACACACCGCCCGUCACACCAUGAGAGUUUGUAACACCCGAAGCCGGUGGCGUAACCCUUUUAGGGAGCGAGCCGUCUAAGGUGGGACAAAUGAUUAGGGUG
RNAcentral lists this ribosomal RNA (1492 nucleotides) under Lacticaseibacillus paracasei. RNAcentral describes it as "bacterial SSU rRNA". It matches the Rfam family "Bacterial small subunit ribosomal RNA". The record is from RNAcentral. Lineage: Bacteria; Bacillati; Bacillota; Bacilli; Lactobacillales; Lactobacillaceae.